CCUACGGGAGGCAGCAGUGAGGAAUUUUCCGCAAUGGGCGAAAGCCUGACGGAGCAAUACCGCGUGAGGGAUGAAGGAUUUUGGUCUGUAAACCUCUUUUCUCAAGAAAGAAGUUCUGACGGUACUUGAGGAAUAAGCAUCGGCUAACUCCGUGCCAGCAGCCGCGGUAAUACGGGGGAUGCAAGCGUUAUCCGGAAUGAUUGGGCGUAAAGCGCCUGUAGGUUGUUUAUUAAGUCCGUUGUUAAAGCCUAGGGCUCAACCCUAGAAAAGCAAUGGAAACUAGUAGACUAGAGUAUGGCAGGGGUUAGAGGGAAUUUCUAGUGUAGCGGUGAAAUGCGUAGAUAUUAGAAAGAACACCGGUGGCGAAAGCGCUCUACUGGACCAUUACUGACACUCAGAGGCGAAAGCUAGGGUAGCAAAAGGGAUUAGAUACCCCUGUAGUCCUAGCCGUAAACGAUGGAUACUAGAUGUUGUGCAUUAUGUACAGUAUCGUAGCUAACGCGUUAAGUAUCCCGCCUGGGGAGUACGCUCGCAAGGGUGAAACUCAAAGGAAUUGACGGNNGNGAAUGCGAGNGACACGAGGGAG
This 586-nucleotide ribosomal RNA is filed under the name uncultured bacterium. RNAcentral describes it as "bacterial SSU rRNA". It matches the Rfam family "Bacterial small subunit ribosomal RNA", at positions 338 to 941 of the family's 1533-position model. The record is from RNAcentral.